This 253-nucleotide ribosomal RNA is filed under the name uncultured bacterium. RNAcentral describes it as "partial 16S ribosomal RNA". It matches the Rfam family "Bacterial small subunit ribosomal RNA", at positions 524 to 776 of the family's 1533-position model. The record is from RNAcentral.
UACGUAGGGGGCAAGCGUUAUCCGGAAUUACUGGGUGUAAAGGGUGAGUAGGCGGCAUGGUAAGCCAGAUGUGAAAGCCUUGGGCUUAACCCGAGGAUUGCAUUUGGAACUAUCAAGCUAGAGUACAGGAGAGGAAAGCGGAAUUCCUAGUGUAGCGGUGAAAUGCGUAGAUAUUAGGAAGAACACCAGAGGCGAAGGCGGCUUUCUGGACUGAAACUGACGCUGAGGCACGAAAGCGUGGGGAGCGAACAGG